GGGGGCGUACCGGUUUCGACGGGGACGUUGAGCAUCGGUAAGCGGGCAGGGGUGCGGGGCCCCUUUAACAAUCCGCAAUUGUUAUAAAUUAAAUAACAACGAUUACGCACUCGCUGCCUAAAUAAUGGCGGCCGUCCUUAGCGGAAGGACCGCGGUCCGCAAAAGGGCGUCAUUUCAGCGGUGAACGCACCGGGGAAAGCUUUGACUCCGAGUGUGUACCAUGAAGCUACCGAAUCCGUAAGGCUGUAGGCCGCCGUGCGGAUAAGGGAAUCUUAAAAGACCAACUGCGCCCGGAGAAAGCUUGUGGGAGAUGUUUUCGGACACGGGUUCGACUCCCGUCGCCUCCAU
RNAcentral lists this small RNA (348 nucleotides) under pig gut metagenome. RNAcentral describes it as "transfer-messenger RNA". It matches the Rfam family "transfer-messenger RNA". Rfam says of the family: Bacterial tmRNA, also known as 10Sa RNA or SsrA, is named for its dual tRNA and mRNA-like properties. Its role is to liberate the mRNA from a stalled ribosome. The record is from RNAcentral.